RNAcentral lists this ribosomal RNA (682 nucleotides) under Streptomyces coelicoflavus. RNAcentral describes it as "bacterial SSU rRNA". It matches the Rfam family "Bacterial small subunit ribosomal RNA", at positions 50 to 746 of the family's 1533-position model. The record is from RNAcentral. Lineage: Bacteria; Bacillati; Actinomycetota; Actinomycetes; Kitasatosporales; Streptomycetaceae.
UACACAUGCAAGUCGAACGAUGAACCACCUUCGGGUGGGGAUUAGUGGCGAACGGGUGAGUAACACGUGGGCAAUCUGCCCUGCACUCUGGGACAAGCCCUGGAAACGGGGUCUAAUACCGGAUACUGACCUGCCAAGGCAUCUUGGCGGGUCGAAAGCUCCGGCGGUGCAGGAUGAGCCCGCGGCCUAUCAGCUUGUUGGUGAGGUAAUGGCUCACCAAGGCGACGACGGGUAGCCGGCCUGAGAGGGCGACCGGCCACACUGGGACUGAGACACGGCCCAGACUCCUACGGGAGGCAGCAGUGGGGAAUAUUGCACAAUGGGCGAAAGCCUGAUGCAGCGACGCCGCGUGAGGGAUGACGGCCUUCGGGUUGUAAACCUCUUUCAGCAGGGAAGAAGCGAAAGUGACGGUACCUGCAGAAGAAGCGCCGGCUAACUACGUGCCAGCAGCCGCGGUAAUACGUAGGGCGCAAGCGUUGUCCGGAAUUAUUGGGCGUAAAGAGCUCGUAGGCGGCUUGUCGCGUCGGUUGUGAAAGCCCGGGGCUUAACCCCGGGUCUGCAGUCGAUACGGGCAGGCUAGAGUUCGGUAGGGGAGAUCGGAAUUCCUGGUGUAGCGGUGAAAUGCGCAGAUAUCAGGAGGAACACCGGUGGCGAAGGCGGAUCUCUGGGCCGAUACUGACGC